Molecule: long non-coding RNA, 1267 nt
Filed under: Populus trichocarpa (black cottonwood)
Lineage: Eukaryota; Viridiplantae; Streptophyta; Magnoliopsida; Malpighiales; Salicaceae
Description: long non-coding RNA (PTRI_LNC000561)
Source: RNAcentral
UUUUAAUAUAUUUAUAACAAAAAUCAUUUUAAAAAUUAAACUUUACCACAAUUUCAAACACGGUAAUCUUAUAAACAUUAUCUUUUGACAUAAACCUGUCUAAUAUGUACACGUACUUAAUCUCAUCCCAUCUCCUCCCAGAACAGAUCAUCUCUAUGUAGAUUCUUCAUCUCUGCUCUGAGAAACAUCCAAAGACACAGACAGGAUUAGAAACAUGGUAAAAGGAGGAGAAAAACAGGUUGGAGUUCCUGUAAUAAUAGCGAUGAAAGGGCAUCCUGGCACAGGCAAGAGUACUUUAGCCAGCUCUUUAGCUUCAUCUCUCAAAAUCCCUCUCAUCGACAAAGAUGAUGUCCGUGACUGCACCGUAUCCAUCCAAAACUCCUCACCCGCUACAGCAUCCAAACUCCUCAACGAUCUCUCUUACGACGUUGUCUGGCAGAUCGCCUCCACUCAGCUACGUUUAGGUCUCAGCGUCAUCAUCGACUCUCCACUCUCUCGGAGGGCCCAUCUCGAUAGACUUGUCCAGGUGGCUUCCUCUACCGGGUCCCUCCUCGUGAUUGUCGAGUGUAAGCCGUUGGAUGAGGGUGUUUGGCGGAGAAGGCUAGAGCAACGUGGCAAGGGUGAUCAGGCUAGCUGGCAUAAGCCUUCAACGUGGCAGGAUCUUGAGAGGCUACUUGAAGGGUACGGUGGGUCCACUGACUAUGAUGUUGGCGAUGUACCGAAGAUAGUCCUGGAUACUUCUGUUGCGGUAGCGGUGGAUGAGCUUGUUUCUAGGGUGGUGGAUUUCGUUGUUUCUUCUGCUUGUACAGGUUAUCACAACUAGAAUUAAUUACCCUUAAUAUUAUAUGUAUAAUAUUCAAACUAUCAUAUGUAUAUAACUUUGUAGAUGAGUCUAGAAUGGUCGAUCUUGCUUCUUAAAUUAUCACCUGUGAGGUCAGAAGAUUACUAGUUGUUGGAUAAACAAUAAAAUGUGAUGAGAACAUGGCAUAUAGCUGCCAAAAAUAUGUUUACAAAAAUAUAGCACGCACCAGUUAGCUUGCCCUUUUCGAGAAUCUAGAACACAGCGUAUGAGGCCCUCCGAGGUUACGAAAGAACAGCCGAGGCAAAAACAAAAUCCAAGCUUAUGUUUGUUUCUCGAGAUACUAUGUGAUGUAUAUAACAAUACUAACUCUAACGGGUGGUCAUAGAUAUAACAAAAAAUACAUUACACUUCGGCGUCAUUAGCGGCGCCUCUCGGGCAAAAAAAAUUUUAUGUCGUGUUGUUCGG